AUUGAACGCUGGCGGCAGGCCUAACACAUGCAAGUCGAGCGGAUGAAGGCAGCUUGCUCCUGGAUUCAGCGGCGGACGGGUGAGUAAUGCCUAGGAAUCUGCCUGGUAGUGGGGGAUAACGUCCGGAAACGGGCGCUAAUACCGCAUACGUCCUGAGGGAGAAAGUGGGGGAUCUUCGGACCUCACGCUAUCAGAUGAGCCUAGGUCGGAUUAGCUAGUUGGUGGGGUAAAGGCCUACCAAGGCGACGAUUCGUAACUGGUCUGAGAGGAUGAUCAGUCACACUGGAACUGAGACACGGUCCAGACUCCUACGGGAGGCAGCAGUGGGGAAUAUUGGACAAUGGGCGAAAGCCUGAUCCAGCCAUGCCGAGUGUGUGAAGAAGGUCUUCGGAUUGUAAAGCACUUUAAGUUGGGAGGAAGGGCAGUAAGUUAAUACCUUGCUGUUUUGACGUUACCAACAGAAUAAGCACGGGCUAACUUCGUG
Molecule: ribosomal RNA, 484 nt
Filed under: uncultured bacterium
Lineage: Bacteria
Description: partial 16S ribosomal RNA
Rfam family: Bacterial small subunit ribosomal RNA
Source: RNAcentral